This 450-nucleotide ribosomal RNA is filed under the name uncultured bacterium. RNAcentral's name for it is "bacterial SSU rRNA". It matches the Rfam family "Bacterial small subunit ribosomal RNA", at positions 369 to 814 of the family's 1533-position model. The record is from RNAcentral.
CAUGGGGGCACCUGCAUCAGCCUAUUACGCGUGAGUGAAGAAGGCCUUCGGGUUGUAAGCUCUUUCGCAAGGGAAGAAAACUUAUGACGAAUAAUCAUGAGGUUGACGGUACUUGAUAAGAAGCACCGGCUAACUACGUGCCAGCAGCCGCGGUAAUACGUAGGGUGCGAGCGUUAAUCGGAAUUACUGGGCGUAAAGCGUGCGCAGGCGGUUUUGUAAGUCGGAUGUGAAAUCCCCGGGCUCAACCUGGGAACUGCGUACGAAACUGCAAAGCUAGAGUGUGUCAGAGGGGGGUAGAAUUCCACGUGUAGCAGUGAAAUGCGUAGAGAUGUGGAGGAAUACCAAUGGCGAAAGAAGACACCCUGGGAUAACCCUGACGCUCAUGCACGAAAGCGUGGGGAGCAAAACAGGAUUAGAUACCCUGAUAAUCCACGCACCUAAACGAUGUCA